UGAGCUCGGAUCAGGUAGGGAUACCCGCUGAACUUAAGCAUAUCAAUAAGCCGGAGGA
RNAcentral lists this ribosomal RNA (58 nucleotides) under Hydnotrya tulasnei. Its description in RNAcentral is "partial 25S ribosomal RNA". The record is from RNAcentral. Lineage: Eukaryota; Fungi; Ascomycota; Pezizomycetes; Pezizales; Discinaceae.